This 253-nucleotide ribosomal RNA is filed under the name uncultured bacterium. Its description in RNAcentral is "partial 16S ribosomal RNA". It matches the Rfam family "Bacterial small subunit ribosomal RNA", at positions 524 to 776 of the family's 1533-position model. The record is from RNAcentral.
UACGUAGGGGGGUAGCGUUGUCCGGAAUCAUUGGGCGUAAAGAGCGUGUAGGCGGCUCGGUAAGUCCGCUCUGAAAGCCCGGGGCUCAACCCCGGGAGGCGGGCGGAUACUGUCGAGCUAGAGUCCGGAAGAGGCGAGUGGAAUUCCUGGUGUAGCGGUGAAAUGCGCAGAUAUCAGGAGGAACACCAAUAGCGAAGGCAGCUCGCUGGGACGGUACUGACGCUGAGACGCGAAAGCGUGGGGAGCAAACAGG